This 490-nucleotide ribosomal RNA is filed under the name uncultured bacterium. Its description in RNAcentral is "partial 16S ribosomal RNA". It matches the Rfam family "Bacterial small subunit ribosomal RNA", at positions 30 to 507 of the family's 1533-position model. The record is from RNAcentral.
AUUGAACGUUGGCGGCAGGCCUAACACAUGCAAGUCGAACGGGAACAGGAAGCAUCUUGCUGCUUUGCUGACGAGUGUCGGACGGGUGAUUAAUGUCUGGGAAGCUGCCUGAUGGAGGGGGAUAACUACUGGAAACGGUAGUCAAUACCGCAUUACGUCGCUAGACCAAAGUGGGGGACCUUCCGGCCUCUUUUCAUCGGACGUCCCCCGAUGGUAUAAGCAAGUAGGUGGGGUCAUGGCUCACCUAGGCGUCGCUCCCUACCUGGUCUGAGAGGCUGAUAAGGCACACUGGAACUGAGACACGCUCCACACUCCUACGGGAGGCAGCAGUAGGGAAUGUUGCACAAUGGGCGCAAGGCUGAUGCGGCCGUGCAGCGUGUAUGAAGACGCCCUUGGCAUUGUAAAGUACUUGAGGAGGGGAAGAAGGGAGUAGCGGUACUACCUUAGCUUAUUGACGUUACCCGCAGAAGAAGCACCGGCUAUCUUCAUG